Molecule: ribosomal RNA, 832 nt
Filed under: uncultured bacterium
Lineage: Bacteria
Description: bacterial SSU rRNA
Rfam family: Bacterial small subunit ribosomal RNA
Source: RNAcentral
AGAGUUUGUUCCUGGCUCAGGACGAACGCUGGCGGCGUGCCUAAUACAUGCAAGUCGAGCGAACUGACGUAACAAGCUUGCUUCUCCAUGACGUUACCGGCGGUCGGGUGAGUAACACGUAGGUAUCCUGCCGUAUAGACUUGGAUAACUUCGAGAACCCGGGAGCUAAUACCGGAUAUACACUUAUGAUCACAUGUUGUUAAGUUGAAAGAUGGUUUCGCCUAUCACUAUAGGAUGGACCCGCGUCGCAUUAGCUAGUUGGUGAGGUAACGGCUCACCAAGGCGACGAUGCGUAGCUGACCUGAGAGGGUGAUCGGCCACACUGGGACUGAGACACGGUCCAGACUCCUACGGGAGGCAGCAGUAGGGAAUCUUCCACAAUGGACGAAAGCUCUGAUGGAGCCACGCCGCGUGAGUGAAGAAGGUAUUUCGGUUCGUAAAACUCUGUUGCAAGGGAAGAACAAGUAGUGUAGUAACUGGCGCUACCUUGACGGUACCUUGUUAGAAAGCCACGGCUAACUUCGUGCCAGCAGCCGCGGUAAUACGUAGGUGGCAAGCGUUGUCCGGAAUUAUUGGGCGUAAAGCGCGCGCAGGUGGUUUCUUAAGUCUGAUGUGAAAGCCCACGGCUCAACCGUGGAGGGUCAUUGGAAACUGGGAGACUUGAGUGCAGAAGAGGAUAGUGGAAUUUCAAGUGUAGCGGUGAAAUGCGUAGAGAUUUGGAGGAACACCAGUGGCGAAGGCGACUGUCUGGUCUGUAACUGACACUGAGGCGCGAAAGCGUGGGGAGCAAACAGGAUUAGAUACCCUGGUAGUCCACGCCGUAAACGAUGAG